AAACAUAGACACUCCCUGGGGAAGAUGGGUGGGUAAUAAGGUAGUAAGUCUGAUUGGCUGUCUCACAUUGUAGUCACUCCUUUCUAUUUUCUUUCCAAAAGGCAGUAUAGACUACAUUUCUAUAGAUCUGGAAGAAGCUGAUACAAGAGAAACCCUUUUAGGAGCAGGCAGAUUCAGCAACUCUUUCUGAAGAGGAAGAAAAGGGAGAUGCUACUGUUAGCACCAGUGUUGACCUUAUGGAUACAAAUAUCACAAAUGAAUGGACAACAGAUAAAGCAUUUUCCUGAAUUCUUGCUUCUGCAAGAAGGAGAGAACUUUAACACAUACUGCAAUUCCUCAAGCACCUUUUACAGUUUACAGUGGUAUAAGCAGAGGCCUGGGGGCAGUCCUGUCCUCUUGAUGAUAUUAGCUAAACGUGGAGAAGUGAAGACACAGUGGAGAUGGACAGGUCGGCUUGGAGAGUCCAAACAGCACAGCUCCCUACACCUCACGGCUGCCCAGCUCUCAGAUGCAGGAACCUACUUCUGUGCAGAGGCACAGUGCUCUGGAAGCACCUGCUGCCUGUCCCCAAACCUCACUGUGGGCUCCAGCGGUCGCUCCUCCUCAUCUCUUCUCAGAGCAGGGGCCAGAGAUAGCUGAAUUUAUGAU
Molecule: non-coding RNA, 648 nt
Organism: Bubalus bubalis (water buffalo)
Lineage: Eukaryota; Metazoa; Chordata; Mammalia; Artiodactyla; Bovidae
Source: the annotation of a RefSeq genome assembly